This 71-nucleotide transfer RNA is filed under the name Urocitellus parryii (Arctic ground squirrel). Its description in RNAcentral is "Spermophilus parryii (Arctic ground squirrel) tRNA". It matches the Rfam family "tRNA". From Rfam's summary of the family: Transfer RNA (tRNA) molecules are approximately 80 nucleotides in length. Their secondary structure includes four short double-helical elements and three loops (D, anti-codon, and T loops). Further hydrogen bonds mediate the characteristic L-shaped molecular structure. tRNAs have two regions of fundamental functional importance: the anti-codon, which is responsible for specific mRNA codon recognition, and the 3' end, to which the tRNAs corresponding amino acid is attached (by aminoacyl-tRNA synthetases). tRNAs cope with the degeneracy of the genetic code in two manners: having more than one tRNA (with a specific anti-codon) for a particular amino acid; and 'wobble' base-pairing, i.e. permitting non-standard base-pairing at the 3rd anti-codon position. Lineage: Eukaryota; Metazoa; Chordata; Mammalia; Rodentia; Sciuridae. RNAcentral also lists the same sequence under 2 other names. The record is from Rfam by way of RNAcentral.
GGGGCUGGGGCUCAGCGGUAGAGCACUCACCUGGCAUGUGUAAGGCCCUGGGUUUGAUCCUCAGCACCCCA